Gastrolobium bilobum is the source of this 1208-nucleotide long non-coding RNA. RefSeq lists it as uncharacterized. The transcript has 3 exons. The record is from RefSeq and is a predicted model, not a curated record. Lineage: Eukaryota; Viridiplantae; Streptophyta; Magnoliopsida; Fabales; Fabaceae.
GUUCCGUGCACUUUCGGAUCAGCUUUUUAGGUCACGUGAACACUACAAGCAUGUUCGAAAAGAGAUUGUAAAACAGUUUGCAGCAAAGAUAUGCCUUUUGACAUCAUUCAGAGACACUUAUUUCAUCGAAAUUAUGCCAUUGUAUGAAGCUCCGAAGCGUGGCAGAGUUUUAAUAUGUAGAUUCAAUGAAGUUAAUGAUGAAUCAAAGUGAUGAUGUGGAUACAACGUAUACUUGAUGAUUCCACGACAACAUGGUUUUGAUGAUAACAAAGAGGAAUGAUUCAAAGACGAAGCAAUAUCCAAAAAGCAAAUGUGAAAGCAUGCACCAAGUCUCGAGCAUCAAUCCAUGUCUAGAAUCUCAAAUGGUAUACUCAUUUAGGACUUAGGAUAAAUAUGUAAAGAUGUAUAGAUACAAAGCAUUGCAUGAGCUCAAGGUCAUUCAUCAAUCAUAUAUUUCAAAAGCAUGCAUCCUUAAAAGAAAAGUCAAGACAAAUGGUUUCAUAUGUACAAUAUUGGUUUGGAAGAAGUACCUAUGUGAUACAAACUUUUCUAGAUAAUUUCCAUAACCAAUAACAUGCAUUACACGUCAUAAAAAUCAUUUGUAAAGAGUAGAAACUCAGAACUCGUACAAAAAAGGCUGCUGCUAUGAAAUAUCCGGAUAUCCAAUAUCCGGAUAUGAAAUCUAGAAUAUCCGGAUAUCCAAUAUCCGGAUAUGUGCCCGAUAAAUAUCCGGAUAUGUACGGAUUACAACGGCUAGAAACGGCUAGUUUUCUUAUGAGGUGUCAUUAUAAAUACCCACAUCAGUUGGGAUGAACAGUACACGACCCUAGAUCAUUUAUUGAAGCUUUAUUACUCUUGCUAGGCUUUUAUUGCUCAUUAAUUACUUACUUUAAUCAUUGCAUACACUUGAGCUCAUCUUUCCUUUGAAGUUAUACAUCUCUUAGUUCUUCAAUUUGUUCAAUCUGUACUUUGAGAGUACUUAACCACUUCUAAUCACCUCAACACUACUUCUUUAUUUGAGAGGGGAGUGAACCCUAUAUUUGAGAGGUUACCAAAUUCCUAAGAAAAUUUGGAGUGAAAAAGUGUAAGGCAUCAAGAGCCCGAAGUCUUGAAAAGUUGUAGUGGUUUGUCAAACACCCUCAAGCUUGAUAGUUAGUGAAAAGAAUUGAUCGAGCGGCUUCAGUCUGGACGUAGGUCACGGUGGUGGU